GAUGAACGCUGGCGGCAUGCCUAACACAUGCAAGUUGAACGAGAAGUUCUGGAACAAGUCUUCGGACAAGGGAAGGGAUGGAAAGUAGCGAACGGGUGAGUAACGCGUGGGCAACCAACCUUACACUGGGGGAUAACACAGAGAAAUUUGUGCUAAUACCGCAUAAGCGCACAGUACCGCAUGGUACGGUGUGAAAAACUCCGGUGGUGUAAGACGGGCCCGCGUCUGAUUAGUUAGUCGGUGAGGUAAAAGCUUACCAAGGCGACGAUCAGUAGCCGACCUGAGAGGGUGAUCGGCCACAUUGGGACUGAGACACGGCCCAAACUCCUACGGGAGGCAGCAGUGGGGGAUAUUGCACAAUGGAGGGAACUCUGAUGCAGCAAUGCCGCGUGAAGGAAGAAGGUUUUCGGAUUGUAAACUUCUAUCAGCAGGGAAGAAAAUGACG
This 445-nucleotide ribosomal RNA is filed under the name Lachnospiraceae bacterium oral taxon 500. RNAcentral's name for it is "bacterial SSU rRNA". It matches the Rfam family "Bacterial small subunit ribosomal RNA", at positions 28 to 456 of the family's 1533-position model. Lineage: Bacteria; Bacillati; Bacillota; Clostridia; Lachnospirales; Lachnospiraceae. The record is from RNAcentral.